This is a long non-coding RNA of Acyrthosiphon pisum (pea aphid), 2663 nucleotides long. RefSeq lists it as uncharacterized. NCBI's taxonomy places the organism in Eukaryota, Metazoa, Arthropoda, Insecta, Hemiptera, Aphididae. The transcript has 2 exons. The record is from RefSeq and is a predicted model, not a curated record.
AAAUGAGCACAAGUGAUAGAUUUGAUACUUAAAUAAUAUUUUAAAAGGAAGUUAUUAUUAAUAUUUGUGUGACGUAGGUGAAUUUAAAUAAAUACCCUCCCCCCAGAUUUUUGAUUUGGGUCCAUCCCUGCGUGCAUGUAAACUUCAAAUCUUAACUCUGGAUUACAAUCAUUUCUAUAGUUUGAAAAAAAAGUCAUAAACCGAGCUCCGUUCCGAAUUUCCCUAAUUUAGCGGUUUAACGUUGUUUAAAGCGUCGAGAGGCUGCAAGCCGUGUCCCUAAACACGCGGUCAUCACAUCCGACAUUCCUUCCGGGUUUUUUAUUCGAUUUUCGCUCCACAAACGGUUUGAUUUGUCACCGUUGUGCCAACGCAACCCACGACUAUUUAUUUUACAACUGGUCCCAAAUGUUCAAUCACAGGGCAUGGCUUACAGGCUGUGACUCGGGGAGUUUUACAGCAUGUCUGGCAACCGAGUGGCCACAACGAUAACAUAUUUUGUUUUAGUGAUUUAUUACAUUAAACGCAUUUAAAAAAAACAUAAUAAUAAUAAUAAAAAUUAACAUUAAAAUGUAUAAUAUAGUAAGAUAUACGAGUAUAAUAUUUAAUAUUUUAUGCGCAACGUGUACUGCGUGGUGGCAAACGCGCACGUACAACUCGCUUUAUACUAUUAAAUAUUAUUAUUUCGUUCGCCGAACACGACGGUUAACCACCUACUAUACAGUUUCGGCUGAAAACUCACGACAGACGACUCUAAAUGGCGAAUGGACAGUGGUUAUAUUGACGUUCUGAAACGUGCCGCCGACCGCGAACGAUAAUAUCGUAAACGACUAAAGCGACGCGACGCGCGGCGUCCCUUGUUUUCGAAGUACGAACGUGUCGCCGACAACGACGACCUUCGUCCGGGCGAGGUCAAAAGCGCGAAAAACAAAACAUUAAAAUCUGUUCUCGAGACGACAAUAAUAUUAAUUAUUGUAACAUAAGAUUGUCGUUGUUUCACAACAACGAAUGCCAUAAAAUCACACCUUAACCAUUUAACCAUCAAUAUCCGAGGCGGGCAGUAAUAAACAAAUACUUACGUGCAAAAAUACGAGAUACAGAAUAUAGUUUAAUAUCUAUUAAAAGUUCAAACACUCAGCUAUAAUUGUGAUUAUUGAUACUGAUUAAUGUAAGUAUGUAGUCACAUUAUCUCGUGUGUAUAAUGCCAGAAUCAUAAAUAUGUUUAUUUUUUGAUAUGAUAAUAAUCAAAUGCAAUUCAAUUUUUUUUAAGUUAAAUUAUGUAGAUGUUGUCUAGGAUAUCUUUUAAUACAUUUUAAGACUUGUAGGUAUAUCACUACUCGUUUAGUUAAGUCAGUCAAGGCAUUUAUAUUUACCAACCAAGUAAGUUAAUUUGGUGUUAAUAUGAAUAUCUGCUCAUUAACAAACUUUUGAUUAGUAAGUUGUAUAUAAUUUACAAUAAAAAAUAAGUAUUUACAACUGCAUUCUACACAUUUGACAACUUUUUUCCAUAAAAAUCAUACUUUUUAAUAAUAAUUAAGGGUCGUUUAAGCAUUAUUUUGUAUUGUUUUUGUUUCUUAUAAUAUUACACAAAAAAAAAUGUGUUUAUCAUUGAAUAAUGAUUGAAAACCGUUUAUUAAAUAUUUCAAAACAAAUUUAUACGAACAUUGAUCAGCAAUAAACUAGUAUAAUAUUAUAUUACGCUCAGCUCAUUGUGUGUGUCACUUCUAGAAACGAUGACUUCGCAUUACCUAUUUCAUUUACGAUCAAAUAUACCAUAAAUGAUUGUAUAAAUCAUUUUUUGCACAUAGGUUAUUUUAUAUCAAUAGACAAAUUCAAUUGAAUAUAAUUGUACAUUUACAAGUGAUUUAAUUUAAUUUAAUUUCCUAGUCAGUAAAGAUUGAAAUGUAAUCAAAUAUUUCAAUAUCACCUGUAUAAAAAUGAAUAUUCCAUUUAGUAGGUAAAGGGUAUUAUAAUCAAAUUAGAUACACUUUUGAUAUACCUAAAUGAAAUAUGCAAGAUCAAUAUUUUACCAAGCUAUAAUUAAAUUAAUACUUCGUUGAUAUAGUUUCACUUAAGUAUGAAUGAUAUUUUGUUUGAAUAUGAAUAUGUUGUAAGUGUAUCGGCCCAAAUACAUAUUUGAUCGGUAUGAUCACAAUAAUAUGUUGUAAGAUAUUAGGAUUGUGUUUGACAGUGGAGAUAUAGAGUUUAAUUAAUGAAUUAUUUUUAAAUUUAUAUUUUCGCUGAAUUCUCACUUCUGAUAAAAGUUAUUUAUAUGUUUAUAUAUUUUAAUUUACUGUAAGUAUGAUAUUUAAAACACAUUUUAGAUUUGUAGUUUUGGUCUUUGAGGGAUCGGAAUGAUAAUAAGGUUAUCACUUAUCUGUCUAAUUGGUAAUUAUUUUCAUGUCAGUAAUUACUUUAUUUAAUAAGCUUAAAAAAUCUUUAAUUCACAUUUACUUUUAUGAGUUUAUGACCACUAGAAAUAUGAAAUAUGUCUACAGUGUAGCACCAUAAGGGUUUUCUUUAAUAUAAUGGUAGUAUAACUACACGUCGACAGUCUUGCACUAUAAUAUUAUACUUCAGAGAAUCGUUGAAAAUCAAUUUACAAACACAAAGCUCUUGAAUGCUCUCAAAUUAAAAAAAAAAAACUAUACUAUACUUCUAUACUA